This 626-nucleotide long non-coding RNA is filed under the name Rattus norvegicus (Norway rat). RNAcentral describes it as "long non-coding RNA NONRATT026674". Lineage: Eukaryota; Metazoa; Chordata; Mammalia; Rodentia; Muridae. The record is from RNAcentral.
UGCUUCUCAGCACUGACACGGUUGCUCACAACCUGUAACUCCCUGUUCCAGGAGCUGACACCCUCUUGUGGUCUCCACAGGUACUGACAGCACGCACAUGGUUAAGGCUGCCUUAGGGAUGGGACCUCUACACAGUACUUAAUUCUUGUUAACAAUGCACAGCAGACUACCCGCUUCCCAGUACUUGUUCUUACUAAAUUUAAUAUUUAUUAGGUAGUGUUACUUUCCUGGAACUCUUUCCCCCACAGAUUAAAUUUUAAUAUCAAAUAGGCUGUUGAUGGACCCCAACUUUCUGGUCCAUUUUGUGCAAGCAUAUUGCCUGCUUCAAAGUGUUUUUCUUCACUUAUGGAAAUUAAAUUCAAGAGGCUUCUGUUAUUUCAUUUCUUUUUUUUAAAGGGAAGACAGGAACCCAGAAUAUUAACAGCCCCAUCCUUUCUGAUAAGAAGUGUUUUGUUUGUUGUUUUUGUUUCUAAAGAUUUAUUUAUUAUAUAUGAGUACACCAUAGUUGUCUUCAGACACACCAGAAGAGGGCAUCAGAUCCCAUUACAGAUGGUUGUGAGCCACCAUGUGGUUGCUGGGAAUUGAACUCAGGACUCUUUUUAAGAUUUAUUUUGGGGUUGAGGAUU